GUCUAAAAUGUUGGUAGGUUACAAUUGUCGUAAUCUUAUAUUUAAUUUGUUUCUUUCAUUAUAUUGAGUGUUUCACUGAUAUUUCUAUAUUCUUUACAUUUCAUUUUAGAAAAUUUACAAUAAUAUUGUUCCCCUUGGUAAUUAGUUGUUAAUAUACUUAUCGUGUAAAGUAUAGUUAAAUUGGGUCCAUAGCUCAGUGGUAGAGCAAUUGACUGCAGAUCAAUAGGUCACCGGUUCGAACCCGGUUUGGCCCUACUUUUAUCAUUAAUUCUAAAAUAAUUUCGUUUUAGUUUCCACAUAAAUACCACCAACUAACACGACUCCUGUAGAAUUGAGAGUAUGGCUGAGGCACAUGUUGACAUCACUCACUGAAUUACCCACAUGUUUCCACAUAAAUACCACCAACUAACACGACUCCUGUAGAAUUGAGAGUAUGGCUGAGGCACAUGCUGACAUCACUCACUGAAUUACCCAUAUGUUUCUGAAAACUCUUACUUACUACCGGCUACCUUUAUUUGUUAGUUCACUUGUUCAGUGUCUUCUAUCGGCUUGCUCAUCUUGAGCUAAAUUCAUGUGCUCAAGGUUGAUGGGAUCUCUCCAGCACAGAUGCUCCAAAAUUUCAGAUUUCUCGUGUGUUGUUUGUGUUACAAAAAAAAAUUACAAAGUUUAAUAGAUGCAAAACAAACCCCAAGAUCUACUUUGUUUGUCUAAUACAUUACUAGGACAUGUAGCAGUGCUGACUUUGCAUUUUUACUAAUGUAGGUGUUUCUGGAAUUUUUGAAAGUAUAAGCUUUCUCCUGUGGUCUAAAGACUCAAGGCAAUGAUGUUCUUUGGUGUGAUAUAUGACGGGGAAGGUUUUGGUCAAGUGUGCUGACUUCUCCAAUCAAAGAACCUAGACGUACACGCAUGUAAGUAAAUCUGUAAAUAUCACGGUUCGUAGCUGUUAGAUGAAGACCACCGAUCCAAAUGAAAUUUCAGGUACCAAUGUUCACAGCGUCUGAUUCAACGUGUAUGGUUUCUUAAGAGUGGAUAUAGCACGGUCGAGUGGGUUCGGUUACUUUCAUACAUAACCAAAGUUGGUUACUGCGAAAAUCAAAUGUUGAAAGUUACACUUUUUCAUUUACAGGAAACCAAUUUGGAUGUUCGUUUUGGUAAAAAGGAUGUUUUGUAUUGCUCAGCUAAAUAUAUGUUGGGUGCCAAUAUUAGUUUUACAUUCCAGUGGGUCUAUGUACUUUUAUUUGGUGUAGCAUUAAAAAUUAGUAAUUUCAGGUUGUCAAUUAAUUUGGAAUCUAUAUAGUAUAUACACAUUUCUCUAAAUACAUCAUUUUUCUUAAAAUGACGAGGCAAGAGAAGGACAUAAUGGUCAAAAUAAAAUGAUGUCAUUUUCAGUAGUGAUUGUAUUUAAGAUCUGAUGAAGCAUAUACUUGAUCAAAAAAAAAAAAAAAAAAUUCUGACACGUCAAAGUACAAACCAUGUUUAUUUUGGAUUUUCCAAAACACAGUCAAUCCAAAAUCUGGGGGUUUGAUUGUUGUAUUUUAAUAUUCGAAAACUCAAACUAAAUCUAUUGUUAUUGGUUCUAUGAUUUUUAAAUCUGUAUUAAAAUCAUGUGUUAUUGGUUUAAUGAUUCAUAAAUUCUUUAUCAAAUCAAGUGUGAUUCAAUCGUACGGAUUUACUAAUAUAUUUGAUUUUAUAAUGGAUUUGAAUGGAUUUUUUAGUUAAAAAUACAAAGGAGAUGUUAUUAUUUAUGCUUGAAAUGAUGUAUUUAUAUAAAAGAUGAUCUGAUCUAAUCGGAUUUUGAAGGUUUAGAAAUCUUAUAUGCUUAAUAUUAUGGAAACAAAAUUAAUGAUAUUCGAAAUUCUGUUACCAUAUAGGAGAAUCGUAUCCCCUAUAUAUUAAUUGAGAAACAUUUGAAAAGAUGUAACCUCAAUUUUGUAUUAAUUAAAAUAGGCUCCAAUG
This is a long non-coding RNA of Brassica napus (rape), 1956 nucleotides long. RefSeq lists it as uncharacterized. The record is from RefSeq and is a predicted model, not a curated record. The transcript is spliced from 4 exons. NCBI's taxonomy places the organism in Eukaryota, Viridiplantae, Streptophyta, Magnoliopsida, Brassicales, Brassicaceae.